AGCGUCUGGAAAGGCGCGCGAUACAGGGUGACAGCCCCGUACACAAAAAUGCACAUGCUGUGAGCUCGAUGAGUAGGGCGGGACACGUGGUAUCCUGUCUGAAUAUGGGGGGACCAUCCUCCAAGGCUAAAUACUCCUGACUGACCGAUAGUGAACCAGUACCGUGAGGGAAAGGCGAAAAGAACCCCGGCGAGGGGAGUGAAAAAGAACCUGAAACCGUGUACGUACAAGCAGUGGGAGCACGCUUAGGCGUGUGACUGCGUACCUUUUGUAUAAUGGGUCAGCGACUUAUAUUCUGUAGCAAGGUUAACCGAAUAGGGGAGCCGAAGGGAAACCGAGUCUUAACUGGGCGUUAAGUUGCAGGGUAUAGACCCGAAACCCGGUGAUCUAGCCAUGGGCAGGUUGAAGGUUGGGUAACACUAACUGGAGGACCGAACCGACUAAUGUUGAAAAAUUAGCGGAUGACUUGUGGCUGGGGGUGAAAGGCCAAUCAAACCGGGAGAUAGCUGGUUCUC
This 515-nucleotide ribosomal RNA is filed under the name Escherichia coli. RNAcentral's name for it is "partial 23S ribosomal RNA". It matches the Rfam family "Bacterial large subunit ribosomal RNA", at positions 337 to 857 of the family's 2925-position model. Lineage: Bacteria; Pseudomonadati; Pseudomonadota; Gammaproteobacteria; Enterobacterales; Enterobacteriaceae. The record is from RNAcentral.